UAUUUAAAUCAAAGCGAACCGAAGACAGUUAGUGGCUCUGGGCCUUAAUUUCUAACCGAGGGAGAUAAUAACACUAUAAGCCUUAUAGUGUCUGCAUAAUCUCUGUGUCUUUUGGGGACAUGGAGUUUUUUAUUGCUUAU
This is a regulatory RNA element of Aerococcus urinae, 140 nucleotides long. It matches the Rfam family "Ribosomal protein L10 leader". From Rfam's summary of the family: This family is a putative r-protein leader autoregulatory structure found in B. subtilis and other low-GC Gram-positive bacteria. It is located in the 5' untranslated regions of mRNAs encoding ribosomal proteins L10 and L12 (rplJ-rplL). NCBI's taxonomy places the organism in Bacteria, Bacillati, Bacillota, Bacilli, Lactobacillales, Aerococcaceae. The record is from Rfam.